Molecule: RNA transcript, 8694 nt
Organism: Daphnia magna
Lineage: Eukaryota; Metazoa; Arthropoda; Branchiopoda; Diplostraca; Daphniidae
Gene name: zinc finger protein 761
Exons: 15
Source: RefSeq, a predicted model, not a curated record
GCGCUAUUCACUCGAGGAAUGGCGGAUUUCUUUUUGGUAGUGUGCAUGUCGGUAGUCUAGUUCUUGGCUGAAGAAAAGUGUGCACAUUUAGUUCGUAUCUUGCAUUAAUCUGUACCCGCGCUGUUGGGACAGUGUAUUCAAAAUGGAAAACAGAAUCAAACGAGUGCGAAUUGUGGGGAAAGGACACGCUUCAUGUUUUGAACGUCUUUUGCUAGAGUGGUAUCGGCGAGAGAGUUUCGUCGAUGUAAUUCUGACGUGCGUUGGUAGUCCUGAAAAUCAUUUGAGUGAUGAAGCCGUGGCGCGCCAUAUACCCGCAAACCGAAGCGUAUUGGCAGCAGCUAGUCCGGUAUUUGCCGCCAUGUUUUGUGAAAACCCACUCGUGGAGGAAGAUGUUCGAAUCUCCGUUGUUGGCUACUCAUACACCUCUAUUCGUUCUAUCAUUGAAUACAUUUACACGGGAUCGCUCGAAUUUUCCGAUUGCGAUAAGGAGCAAAUCAAAGAAAUACUCAGAGAUUUCCUUAUCCCGAUUCCAAACACGAAGAAAAUCUCGAAAAAUCAAGAAAAAGAAACUGUAACGGACGAUGAAACUUGCGAAUCCAUCGCCAAAAGUAGAAGCCAGAUUAUAACAGAAACUGGGGCGGAGAACAGACGCAACACCACAUACGAUACCAACACCGGGAUAAGAAACGAAGAAGCAGAAGAACAUGGAAUUCACAUAGUUUCCUCCGUCUCUUUGUCAUCCAUGGGGGAUGUCCAAAUAAUACCGCCAACAAAAACCUAUCGUGCGAAUAAAAUGAGGCCUCUGGCUCCAAAAGCGUUUACACGUGCCGUGAAGAAUCCUGAACUAGCUUCAGCUUAUUCCCGGAAGAACGCUCUGCGACCACGAAAUAAGGUAAACCCCCACGACGCUGAGGAAUCACCGCCAGUCUUAGGAAACAUAACAACAAGAGUAUGCGAUUUCCAAAAACUACCAACCGCAUUAGAAUCGACAAUACAGAAACCGUUGAAUGCACAUAUCAACCCCCGAAACUGCAACCUGCCUUUGUCGGAACCAGUUAUUAACCAAGUUGAGGCAACGACUACUCCUCAACUCAACGUAAUUCGUAUAUUUAAUCGAAUGGUCGAAGCCCCGCAUUCUUCGAAGAAACAAACGACUAUGGAGUCCCUUCCUAUUCCGUUUUGCCAAUUUGGAUUAUCCAAGAGUUUCGACGAAAAGACGGUCAUCCAAUCUGAAAGUGUUUUGGUACCACCAGUGAAAGUAGAUAUUCCGAUCAUGAAAAACGGUCGGUGCAUAUUCACUGUGACGGAGGAAAUGGCCAGAGCCUCUUAUUACCGCAAUGUCAUCUCUGCUCUGUACGAUGUCCCGGGAACGUAUACUUUGUAUCGAGAAAGACCAACUCCAAACAUCGAUACAAUACCAUUCUGUGAACUUGCAAAAUUCCAAGUUUCCAAAACGCACAUCUUUGUUCCAUCCUAUCUUGAGAAAAAACCUUUGUUUACCUACCAAGACAGGCCUAGUACAAGGGCCCAACGUCAGUCGCAAACCAGCAUUUCUCUAUCGGGAAUCAGAAUCGAGUCGGUCCAUCAAGUCAACGGUAAAGUGCACAUCUGUACUCUGGGAGAACCACUUGUCAAUCAGGCAUCAGAAACUCUCUUUGAGGACUACCCACUUUCUUACCUGAACCCGGACCAAGUAGUUUCUCGCCUUUCAUUGGAACACAAUUAUUCAUUUGGCGAAACACCGUUGCCUACCGAUAGCGAGUGCUCCAAUCGUAGUGAAUUGGCUAAAGAUCUAGAAGACUACAAAAGUGCCAUACAGCUUGCAAUCAAUCAGCAACGUCGCAAAAAUCGGUUGAGACAUCGUAUUCAAUCUUAUUCAAAAGAGGUCUCCACCCUAAAACGCAGAGCCGUGGAGUUGCUUGAUAUUUGUCACUUAAUGCAAGAUGAAGCUCAUGAAAUGGAUCCCGAUUAUCAACGGUCUAACAAGAAAACUACAAGCGAACGGUCCAAAAUCGGGCAAAGCAAUGAUGCGGAUGAGAAAGUCCCUUGCACAGUUUGCAAUAAACUAAUCAAGAAAACUUGGCUCAAGCAACACAUGGUGAUUCUGCACACGGAAGAAAGAAACCACUUGUGCGAUGAAUGCGGCCGAACAUUUGUCAUUAAAGCUCAGUUGCGAGCCCAUCAGCUACGACAGCAUAAGGCUGUACCGGGAAAUCACCUGUGUGAGCAGUGCGGUAGGUCAUUCCGAUUCGCCCGUUAUUUAAAUCGCCACAUGUCGUUACAUUCGAGCGAGAAGCCCCACGUUUGUCGGUAUUGUGACAAAGCAUUUCGCCUGAAACCCGUGCUGAUUAAGCACAUUCGCACACACACUGGGGAGAAACCAUAUAAAUGCACGGUUUGCGGAAGAUGUUUCAGACAGAGGACAACUUAUGCAACCCACCUCAAGAUGCACGAAAAGAGACAAAUGGCUGGUGUGAGAGAAGGGAAUACUGGACUGGGGCAACUUCCUCGCCUCAAAUGUGAUUUUUGCUCUAUGACUUUCAAGCUGGAUCUCUUCUUAAUGCUUCACCGAGCUAAACAUACAGGAGAGACACCGGCGUUGCCUUGUCCUACCUGCAAGGAUACGUUUCCUUCUAUUAAGGAGCUCACUCUUCAUCGUAAAAGCCAACACCCAGAAUCGGUAUAUGCGUGCCAAAUCUGUCCCAAAGUCUUUACAAACAAGGCUAAUUUUGAUUUCCACGUGCACAAACAUUCAAAUCCUGAUGCUGUCAAGAAAAAAUAUCCAAAAGUGGAUCCCGUCGAUACAGGUCCUUGCACCUGUGACUUUUGCGACAAAGUUUUCAAAUCGCGUUCCGCGCGUGACUACCACAUUAAGGGAAUCCAUUUAGGUGACAAAUCGCUGAAAUGUCAGUACUGCGAUAAAACCUUUUCGCAUAAACCAUCGUUGGAGCAGCACAUGCGGACGCACACGGGCGAGAGGCCUUUCAAAUGUGAUCAAUGCCCAAGUUCAUUUAAGCAACAACAGCAUCUGACGGCCCACAUGGUUGUUCACACGGGUGAGCGCCCAUUCAGCUGUGACCAUUGCGAUAAGACGUUUCCUCACAAGACUUCUCUGUAUGCCCACUUACGUAUACACACGGGCAAAAGGCUGAUGUGUACGCAUUGCCGGAAAGUUCUGCCUAGCCUAGCGCAAUUGAUGCGCCACGAAGAAAAUUGCUCGUUGAAUACCAAUGAAUCUUCCGUUGAAUAACGGAUACUUUCAUCAUUGCUAUGCGCCAAACAGUUAGGUUUGCACCCCUUUGACGGAUAUUCCUUUUAUCGCGUGUAUACAUAGACUGAGACAACAGGUAACAAAUAAUUGAGAGGGUAGGGAGAUAAGUAACGAGUACUGGCAGUUAAUGAAUAAUCUCACAUGUGUGAGGACUUGUGACGAUUAACCAGAACGGUCAGAUCGCGUGGAUCAAUGAUGAAAGAAUCCGGGUUAGUGUUAGUCUCAGUGCUGGGUAGUUGAUGUUGACGAGUAGCCAAUCGUCGAUGGAUAACUAUACCAGACUGUUGUUGCUUGACAGUUUGAAGUAGAUUUUCUUGCUGUUUCUGCCAAUCCAGCACGUUACUCAAGAGCCUUAUAUACUUAAUCGCAAGCCGGAGAAUCUCAUUCUUGCUUAACUUUUUCUCCGGUGGGUAGGUUGGAACGAGUUUACGCAACUCAGAGAACGCACCGCUGACGUUUUGUUGGCGCCAGCGUUCGCGACUGUUACUGAAAGUCUUUCGUGGAAAGACGAUUAGCGGACGACCGGACUCUUCCGAUGUUGUUUUCUGUGUUACACGCCCUCCCAGAGGCGAAGUUGAGUGAGAUGGCUGUCCUCGAGCCUUAGUUGGGUUUAAUCGUUUGCGGAACUGCAAAGUGGUAGCACUAGAUAUGGUUGAUGGACUCUCCGCUUUGAUACUCUCAGACUCCUCGUGACUAGAACGGCUUGAGGAUGAUGUUGGCUCUUUCUUCACUUUAACGGUUUUCUUUGCCUGUUUGCGAAUCACUUGUGUUUAGAAAGCAUUUAUUUUUGAUCAAAAUAUCUUUUCACUUACUUGAACAUCAUCCUCGUGACGUGACACGUUGUCGUUAUCGUCUGAAUCGGGUGAAAAUUCUGAAUUGUCUUCGAACUCUGACGUGUCGACAUCGCUCGAGUUGGACGCCAUACUUCGGAUGCUGCUAUUGCUCCGGCUUCGAUUAUCUCGCUGCAUUUAGGCUGGAUAUCGUUAUUGUUGUUGUUCACGGAUGUUGCAGUGUGAAUGUUUUCUUCGACUUUACUUCAGAUGGGAACAAUUUCAACUAAAACGAUUAUAGCCGUAGGAAAACACAAGGAAAAAAAGGGGCGGUAUUUUAUUGUCAGCGCUAUCAGAUCGUAGGACAAAGUUCACCGUAGGCAAACUAGAUUUCCCAAUCAAUAACUCUAAUAUUUACCCAAAAUGUUAUUGUCUGCUACCGUCUCGUAAACUAGCUGAAUUUGUCACCAAUUCCAUUCGGACGGAUGGCUUUUUAUAUGGGCCAAAGGUCCGAAAAAGCGGGUCAUGCGCGCGAGCAUCAACCCUGUUUGGUGAACGGGAGCGUCCAAUCCAGUGACGAGGAAGAGUUGUAAGUUGACAGGGACCCCGCCCUCCUAUAUUUUCUAUUACGAAUCUUUUGACGUUCUUCGGUAAACCCUCCCCUCAGUCGCUCCGAUUCCUUUCCUGUGAAAAAGUUAAAAAAAAACUCUUAUUCUACUUCUACACAAUACAUAUCAUAUUCCCCUUUUGAGAGGGGUUGGUUGACUCUCUAUUCAAAAGCAGAAAAAAAGGCCCCCAAAAAAUGAUCGUAUUAACUCGAUAAAUGUGCGUGGCAUAAAUCAGCGACUUUAAAACCUCGAAACUCGUGGGAGAAAAGCGGUUCAUCAGCUUCAGCUUUUCAAAAGUAUCGCACGCACAUCGAAUAGGCCUUUAAAGUCUGGACAUACAAAGAUUAGCAGACAUUUGAUACGAUAAGAAGCCACCAAGAACUUCUUUUCCAGGGCUACCGACGAAGUAGAGUUGAAUUGUUUCUGACAUCUGUCAAUCGCCACUUGGCUGUCAUGUCGCCUCCAUUUUUUUUUCCAAGCUUUUCAGUUUGUUUUGCUUUUCAUGGUAAUGGCCAUACGAGUUUUGCGGCCAACCGGUAGAUAAAUUAGCAUCGAUAUCAGUCAAUAGGCAGUACAGAAUUAAACAUUGGGUCACGUGGCACCAAACAGCGAUAGUUUUUUGUUACUGUGUGUGAAUGGAUUUUCGAUACUGUGCAUUUCGAGUGUGUAUUUACUGUACAUAUAGACCUAUUAUAAUACUCAUUGAAACUGAAAAGAGAUCAACGUGAAUCGCCUCCCUCCAUUGGCACGCGACCGACCACCGAUCCAAUCAAUUUAUUCAACCUCAUGACCCUUCUUUUCUCUUUUCAUGAUAAUUCAAUGUGGCUACAAAAUUGCCAUUCAUUCUCCCCCAUAUGAAAUCCUAAUAGAUUUUGUUUUGUUAUUGUAGUUAGAGGAGAAGAAAAAAACGAGAAGAGGGUGAGGGGAUUUUUAUGUGACGAGUUCCCAAAGCUGUCAAAAUACGUUAUUAAGCUGCCUUUCCCUUUCGCUUCUAAAAGCACAGUCUUAUCUCGAGUUAGCAGACGCUGCUCUGUGUGUACUAAAUAACAUCGUCGGCGACGCACGCGGCGUCGUUGACAAAGCAGCAAUAUUCUGUAUUUUGAAAAGAAUUGGAUCACCAACUAUAAUACAGUUGCCUUCUUCUACGUUUGGAUUCAAUUUGUCCCCCAAAAUCCUGAAUCGAUUCCGUGUUUUAUUGAUCACAGCGCUUCAAUAUUAUGACAUGACAUUCUAGAAAAAUUAGCAGACAUUACUUUUGUGACAUCAGUGGAGCAACUAUCCCUUUAAUGUAGGCGAGAUGGGGAUCAAGAAGAAAUAAAGAAAAAAUUCAUCGGAAUGCACAAAAUACGAGGAAGAGAGGGACGAGAAGAACAAACGUCAGAUAAAGAGGCAUCCGUGGCUCACAGACAUCACGAGCCACAAAGGUACGGUCCCAAUCUUGUGAUACACUGCUAUUUGGAACAGGAAUCGAGACGACCACUUUCUCUGAUGAGUAAAAACUGAGGGGGAAGUUGCAGCUGGUGGAAUUGUGGCAGACGUCAGUAGCCUCCGUUAAGUUGAAAACAGUUUUGAGCAGGUCAAAUUUCACCGACAACUUAUUCCGUACCUUAAAUAAUCACAUAAACGUUGGAUAUGAUUAGCAAAUGGGAUGCAAAUAAAUAUUUUAUGUUGUUUUUCUAAAAUGAAGUGGUUUUUGCAAACUAUGCUAAUUUUAUCCAAAAGAAAAUGGUUGAAGAGAAGGAAUGGUUUGAAAAUUUUCCAAAUGGCAACGUCUAUUCGUAUUUUCGAACCCUUCCCCAUGAAUCAUACCGAAUCAGUUUUAAUUCCCAUUCUUGCAACAUCAGCGAAGGUAGGCUGCUGCUACAGUCCCAGUUUUUUAUUUUCAAUAUUAAUAAAUCUUAUUCAUCUAACUUUCAAAUAGACAAAUCAAAGUGUACACAUUCAGCAUUUCAACGUUGGAGAAAUUGCGCUUCAAGAUUCUCCCCAAUUAACCAUCACAACUUAACGAUAGCACUAUUGUUCUACAGUGGGAACUGGUUGAGGCUCAACCUGAAACAAGGGUCGAGUACGAUAGCGAUAAAUGGUGAUGGCGUAACGAGCACAAAGCUGAACUGAGGCAAAACCGAGGACAAGCCAUGUCAAAAUUCUGACAUUCUCCGGGACAGGCCCAUCGGGACGGCUCUGGUCACCUUGUCUAUUCAAAAUUCCAAAGGAAACAAACCAGGAUAUUGCACCAGGGUGUAGCGAACGUAGGGAUCAAGCCGGGUGUUUUCGAGUAUGAACCACCCUAUCAUAACAGUCAAAAGAAUUGACAAACAAACUAAACUAGUUGUUUCUGCGUCGAAAUUCCCAAAGUACUGGAAGGCGAUGUUAGCGUUCAGCAACUUAGGCGUGCAUAAUAUCAAAGAUAAGUUGUUUUUAGCCAAUUGUUUUCAAUGAUUCUCUGGUUACUUACAGAUGCAAUUGUCGUCCAUGUGGUAUACAGUGCUAUGCCAUUAUGUAUCAAGAUUCUCUGCAAUCGUACUUCUUUUAAAACUGAAGUUUUUAAUUUAAAUUGUUUGUAAUAACCUGACGCUAGCGACAGCAAACGAUAGCCAUCCCGUGCCAGCAAUAAAAAAUAGGAAAAUGCUUGCCACGACCAUUAAUUUUCGGUCCCAUAAAAAUAUCCAUGCCGUGUUGAGACUGUAAUUCAGUGCAAGGGCGACGUAAAAUAACCAAUUUAGGACAACUGGUUGGACGAAUACUCGGCUGCUAGGCCCACUUCUUCUGUAGACAGUCGAGACACCUAUUAAAUUGCACCGGCUCCAAGAAAUAUGUAGAUGAUACUCCAUAUUGAGAAGGUAAAUCCGGCUGGAGUAAUGUACACCGUAUAGUUAGCAGAGACCUGUCCCGUAUUCUGGUUAAAAAGGGCUAAUAGAAGAUUCACGAGUUAGCAAGUAUUACAAUUUCAGUUCGUCUGCAGUACAAUGUAAACAAAACAAACCAUACCUUCAUAACCUGAACCACCUAGUGCAUUGAAAACAACCAUGACAACAAACGUUAUUGCCAUCAAAUGCACCAAGCCAGCCAAAAACAUGCGUCGUUGCUCCAUGACGAUGAUGCACAACAAGUAGACAACCUAGACGAAUGGAAUCGAUCAAGUGUGUCAAACGUGAAAUCACGAAAAAAGUUGUGUUCGGCACCGUUGCGAUACUAAAGAAAUGUCGAUUUACACAGACAUUAAAAAGUUGCCCAACAAGUGAACAGCUACAAACAAGUCAGACAAAUGUCCAUUCAAUAACUUUUGUGUUGUUGAAGCACGUAGACACAGAGUGACACAGUCGGACACAGGAGUCUGACGACUGAAUCGACUGAAUGUUUACGUGAGCUCGUAGCUGUGGACGUGCCGCAUGAAUUUAUAGGCGUGUCGAUGGCGGUCUUUCUCAAGGACAAGUUUAGUAGGCCCCCAGAGCUAUGACGCAAAUAGCUUCAAAAUGGAACACACAAAAAUUCUAAGAGAGAGUCUUCAUCCCAUUUUCUUUUCCUUACAGCAUUGGUUGUGUUGCAACGUGAUAAAUAGUCCAGGGAAUUUUACUGUUAACGACAAUCUUCUAAGUAAAUCAUCAAAUUUAAGGAUUGGUGACUAAUUUUUGCCAGCGGGCUGUAACUUAAACGCCUUGAUGGAGUUUCUAAGAGGGGUGAAUUGUUUCAAACAGCAUCUUUCUCUCGCGUCAACGCGGCAAUGUUUAUUUUUCUUUUGGUACCUUAUACAGCGCUAUAUCUAUAUCCACUUUAUUUCCGCAGUGCCCCACAACCUGUUUGGUUGAGCAGUCGGAUAUUUAGAACGUUGUUGCCUGCAUUCAUUUUGUUUAGGUAUAAAAUGUUUAGGAACUUUUAAUGCAUAUUGGAGAACUAAAAGUUCGCACUUGUCUUUACAUUUUAAUCCAAAUUUGUUCCCUGAUUUAAGGCAAAUCGACAUGGUUUGAGGAUCAUUUCUGAGCAACUGUCUAAAGCGAUCUAAAACCUUACGACUGAUAAAUAUACAGCCAAAGAAAAGCAAACGAAC